This is a long non-coding RNA of Phyllopteryx taeniolatus (common seadragon), 2223 nucleotides long. RefSeq lists it as uncharacterized. The transcript is spliced from 2 exons. The record is from RefSeq and is a predicted model, not a curated record. Lineage: Eukaryota; Metazoa; Chordata; Actinopteri; Syngnathiformes; Syngnathidae.
CCCCCCCCCCCCCCCCCCCCGCAGCCUUGUGCUGACCUGUUACCGUGGGCUUCAGGAGCUUUGGUGAAACUCUGGCGAAAUAUCCACCUUCGGAACAUUGAAAAAAUGGCCGCUCCUCGUUUGCCAACAACUGGGCAAAGGACUAGCAAACAGAAGCAGAGCAAGAGACGUCAGGCAGCUCAGAGGAUUCAGAAGCAACGCAGAAUUAGAACCAUUUCUGCUCGACUGCUUCCCCCUCAAGUGUUGAACAUCCGUCUGGAUUCAAUUUCAAACGUGAAUGUGCUCGCAUGAGCAGGACCCUCCAACCUCCGCAUCUGCUGUCGUAAAAGCGAGCGCACACACGCACGCUGGUUGAGCACGUGUACUGUUCGGUUCUUCACUUGAAGACGGGAGUUAACUGGAGUCCAGCUUUUGAAAACUCUUUUGAAGACUUUGGAUUUUAGUUGAGACAUGGCACGCUGCUAUAAAUUGGCCCAUAAUAUCCUUACUGGCCGUAUUGGUCCUCUCUCUGUAUGAAGACUAGACUACUCUCAAAGACUGGACUACUUCAUUAAUGUACUCCAAAAAAAGAAAAAAGUACUUGAAUUGACUUAGUUUGAACAUGUUGCACGUGAUUAAAAUGGGUUAAACUAACACAUCAUUUGCUUAUUUUAAAGGAAAGAAAGGGAUCAUUCUGUCAGUUGACCACAUUUGAAUCAACAAUCAAUCAAUCAAGAAAUUGAGAACCUUUUUUUCAGUGUACGGUCACCUGAUUUGUGACUUUGGACUCGAGUUAUGGCCGGACCUGGCGUGAAACGAGCUGCGUCAUUUUCAUGACGAUUGAGUGAUUCUGAUGAGGACGCCAAAGGCACGUCGUAGUGGUAUUGACCCCAUUAAGACGGACUGACAUUUGACCGGUUGCGUGCCUUUUUCACAUUAUUCACGAUAUGAUGUUCAGAGGAAACGCUUGGCGUUGCGGUCACGGGUCAAGUGACUUUCCCAGGCUAAAGUGUGUUUCCCAGCACGGAGGGACACUGUGUGUGUGUGUGUGUGUGUGCGUGUGUGUGUGUGUGUGGAUUCGAGAGGGGAAGUCCACAGCUCAAGGCUGCGUUUCUGAUGUUCACACUUGUUUGCAGCGGACAAGUGAGGAGAAAUCGCAAAGUUUUGUUUUGUGACAAAAUUGCAGGAAAUGGUGACAGUUGCAAUUUUUUGGUUCUGAAAGAAAAUGUUGCCUUCACACUUGCAUUCACGCAAAAAGUGAUGGCGACAUGUGGAAAGCGUGCUGACAUUUUUGUCGGGAGAUGAGAAAUGUUUGAGUUGCACAGGCAUGUACUUCAUCUUCACGGCGAAAACGAGGACGUGUGCAGUAACAUUUGCGCAAGUGGUGAAACCCGUGAAAAUCAAAUCUCAAGCGUGCGCAUAAUUCUCAGGAUUGGUUGGAUUUGUGAGGAUUGUUGCGAUCACGAUAUCGCAAAGGCGCAGCGCAAGGGUCCGCCACCUGCGGCUCAAAAGCGCUUUCGUCCGUCUGAGGAAAAUAAAUAACAAUUAUGUCAUUUUGACUUCCUUCCUUAGUUUUUCAAAUAUAAUUUAAAAUUUGAUUAUGAUGCUCCUGCAACAUUAAAAUAAAAUAAAAAUUGUCGCUUGAAAUAUGCGUCACAAGCGCUGAAGUGCGACACCUGGCGCCAAGAUUUAUUGAGCGAUAUUUGACUCCUGGUUGGUUAAGCCCAAGAAAAGUCAAGUUUCUGAUGAACGGCUAAUGCUACGAGCUACAUGAACGAUGUUAAAAGCAAAACACGCCCACGCGGGCCUCACGGGUGGCGGCUUACGAUCGUGUGUGAAGACGAAGAUGACGCCGACGGCCCUGAUGUGUCCGCACGGCGCUGAGGUUAAGGAGCAAAAAUCAUAUCAACCGGGUCAAACAAAUAUUCAAAUUGGCUAUUAUUUUGCAAAUAUACAGAGUAUUUGACAUUGUUUCGUGAAAUGGCCCUUUUUCAUUCGAGCUGAAAACUGACUGCACGCUCCACAUGCGAUAAAAUGAUGACAGAAGACAACAGAAGGUUGAAGAAUCUUAUGAAGACAAGGAGGACACUGACUAUUUUAUUUGAAAGCAAGCGUCAACCAAGCGUCUUUUUUUGUUACAUGCAGAAAUCAAAUUUUGUCUUCCCGAUAGCAAGUCAUUGACUCCAUAAAUGCAACACACCAUAGUUGUUUAUUGUGUUAUAUAUUUAUAGACACACACAGGUG